RNAcentral lists this unclassified non-coding RNA (334 nucleotides) under soil metagenome. RNAcentral's name for it is "partial contains 5.8S ribosomal RNA, internal transcribed spacer 2, and large subunit ribosomal RNA". The stretch from base 1 to 120 matches the Rfam family "5.8S ribosomal RNA", at positions 35 to 154 of the family's 154-position model. The record is from RNAcentral.
GAUGAAGAACGUAGCGAAAUGCGAUACGUAAUGUGAAUUGCAGAAUUCAGUGAAUCAUCGAAUCUUUGAACGCGCAUUGCGCCUGCCAGCACUCUGGCAGGCAUGCCUGUUCGAGCGUCAUUUCAACCAUCAAGCCCUAGGCUUGCGUUGGAGCCCUGCGGCUGCCGCAGGCCCCUAAAAGCAGUGGCGGGCUCGCUAUCACACCGAGUGCAGUAGAUUACUCUUCGCUCAGGGCGUGUGGCGGGUUCCAGCCGUGAAACCCCCUACUUCUCAAGGUUGACCUCGGAUCAGGUAGGAAUACCCGCUGAACUUAAGCAUAUCAAUAAGCGGAGGA